RNAcentral lists this ribosomal RNA (473 nucleotides) under uncultured bacterium. RNAcentral describes it as "bacterial SSU rRNA". It matches the Rfam family "Bacterial small subunit ribosomal RNA", at positions 355 to 825 of the family's 1533-position model. The record is from RNAcentral.
UGGGGAAUAUUGGACAAUGGGCGAAAGCCUGAUCCAGCCAUGCCGCGUGUGUGAAGAAGGUCUUCGGAUUGUAAAGCACUUUUAAGUUGGGAGGAAGGGCAGUUACCUAAUACGUGAUUGUUUUGACGUUACCGACAGAAUAAGCACCGGCUAACUCUGUGCCAGCAGCCGCGGUAAUACAGAGGGUGCAAGCGUUAAUCGGAAUUACUGGGCGUAAAGCGCGCGUAGGUGGUUAGUUAAGUUGGAUGUGAAAUCCCCGGGCUCAACCUGGGAACUGCAUUCAAAGCUGACUGACUAGAGUAUGGUAGAGGGUGGUGGAAUUUCCUGUGUAGCGGUGAAAUGCGUAGAUAUAGGAAGGAACACCAGUGGCGAAGGCGACCACCUGGACUGAUACUGACACUGAGGUGCGAAAGCGUGGGGAGCAAACAGGAUUAGAUACCCAAGUAGUCCCUGAGCGGGCUGGCAAGGCGCAU